AAUGGAGGCAACUCUGAUCCAGCAAUGCCGCGUGUGUGAUGAAGGCCCUAGGGUUGUAAAGCACUUUCAACGGUGAAGAUGAUGACGGUAGCCGUAGAAGAAGCCCCGGCUAACUUCGUGCCAGCAGCCGCGGUAAUACGAAGGGGGCGAGCGUUAUUCGGAAUUAUUGGGCGUAAAGGGCUCGCAGGCUGCUUGAACAGUUAGACGUGAAAUCCCCGGGCUCAACCUGGGAACUGCGUUUAAUACUAGCAAGCUAGAGAAAUAGAGAGGAAAGUGGAACUCCCAGUGUAGAGGUGAAAUUCGUAGAUAUUGGGAAGAACACCAGUGGCGAAAGCGACUUUCUGGCUAUUUUCUGACGCUGAGGAGCGAAAGCGUGGGGAGCAAACAGGAUU
Molecule: ribosomal RNA, 392 nt
Filed under: uncultured Gammaproteobacteria bacterium
Lineage: Bacteria; Pseudomonadati; Pseudomonadota; Gammaproteobacteria
Description: bacterial SSU rRNA
Rfam family: Bacterial small subunit ribosomal RNA
Source: RNAcentral